AACGAACGCUGGCGGCAUGCCUAACACAUGCAAGUCGAACGAGACCUUCGGGUCUAGUUGCGCACGGGUGCGUAACGCGUGGGAACCUGCCCUUAGGUUCGGAAUAACUCCCCGAAAGGGGUGCUAAUACCGGGUAAUGUCUUCUGACCAAAGAUUGAUCGCCUUUGGAUGGGCCCGCGUUGGAUUAGCUAGUUGGUAGGGUAAAAGCCUACCAAGGCGACGAUCCAUAGCUGGUCUGAGAGGAUGAUCAGCCACACUGGGACUGAGACACGGCCCAGACUCCUACGGGAGGCAGCAGUGGGGAAUAUAGGAAAAUGGGCGAAAGCCUGAUGCAGCACGGCCGCGUGAGUGAUGAAGGCCUUAGGGUUGUAAAGCUCUUUUACCCGGGAUGAUAAUGACGGUACCGGGAGAAUAAGCUCCGGCUAACUCCGUG
RNAcentral lists this ribosomal RNA (433 nucleotides) under uncultured bacterium. RNAcentral describes it as "partial 16S ribosomal RNA". It matches the Rfam family "Bacterial small subunit ribosomal RNA", at positions 29 to 507 of the family's 1533-position model. The record is from RNAcentral.